GUCUUUUUGAAUUAUUUUAAAAGUCUAACCUGCCCACUGAAUAAUUUUUAAAUGGCCGCAGUAUCCUAACUGUGCAAAGGUAGCAUAAUCAUUAGUCUUUUAAUUGAAGGCUGGUAUGAAUGGUUGGACGAGAUAUUAACUGUUUCAUAAAAAUUUAUAAUAGAAUUUUAUUUUUUAGUCAAAAAGCUAAAAUAAAUUUAAAAGACGAGAAGACCCUAUAAAUCUUUAUAUUUAGAAAAUUAUACUUUUAAGGAAUUUUUUUAGUAUAAUUUUUGAUAAUAUUUUAUUGGGGUGAUAUUAAAAUUUAAAAAACUUUUAAUUUAUUGAAUCAUUAAUUUAUGAAUAAUUGAUCCGUUAUUAACGAUUAAAAAUUUAAGUUACUUUAGGGAUAACAGCGUAAUUUUUUUGGAGAGUUCUUAUCGAUAAAAAAGAUUGCGACCUCGAUGUUGGAUUAAGAGAUAUAUUUAGGUGUAGCCGCUUAAAUGUUAAGUCUGUUCGACUUUUAAAUUCUUACGUG
Molecule: ribosomal RNA, 517 nt
Filed under: Musca ventrosa
Lineage: Eukaryota; Metazoa; Arthropoda; Insecta; Diptera; Muscidae
Description: partial 16S ribosomal RNA
Rfam family: Bacterial large subunit ribosomal RNA
Source: RNAcentral